UGAGCAAUCUGCCCUUCUCAUCGGAAUAAGCGUUGGAAACGACGUCUAAUGCCGAAUACGACCUCCUUUCGCAUGAUCGGAGGUGGAAAGCUCCGGCGGAGAAGGAUGAGCUCGCGGCCUAUCAGCUAGUUGGUGUGGGUAAUGGCCCACCAAGGCGACGACGGGUAGCCGGCCUGAGAGGGUGACCGGGCCCAACGACCGUACGGGACUUGGGAACGACGACGGACCCACGGACCUCGUACGGUAGACGGA
Molecule: ribosomal RNA, 252 nt
Filed under: uncultured bacterium
Lineage: Bacteria
Description: partial 16S ribosomal RNA
Rfam family: Bacterial small subunit ribosomal RNA (bases 1-193)
Source: RNAcentral